Molecule: ribosomal RNA, 253 nt
Filed under: uncultured bacterium
Lineage: Bacteria
Description: partial 16S ribosomal RNA
Rfam family: Bacterial small subunit ribosomal RNA
Source: RNAcentral
UACGUAGGGUGCAAGCGUUAAUCGGAAUUACUGGGCGUAAAGCGUGCGCAGACGGUUUUGUAAGUCUGAUGUGAAAUCCCCGGGCUCAACCUGGGAAUUGCAUUGGAGACUGCAAGGCUAGAAUCUGGCAGAGGGGGGUAGAAUUCCACGUGUAGCAGUGAAAUGCGUAGAGAUGUGGAGGAACACCGAUGGCGAAGGCAGCCCCCUGGGUCAAGAUUGACGCUCAUGCACGAAAGCGUGGGGAGCAAACAGG